AUUGAACGCUGGCGGCAGGCCUAACACAUGCAAGUCGAGCGGAUGAAGGGAGCUUGCUCCUGGAUUCAGCGGCGGACGGGUUAGUAAUGCCUAGGAAUCUGCCUGGUAGUGGGGGAUAACGUCCGGAAACGGGCGCUAAUACCGCAUACGUCCUGAGGGAGAAAGUGGGGGAUCUUCGGACCUCACGCUAUCAGAUGAGCCUAGGUCGGAUUAGCUAGUUGGUGGGGUAAAGGCCUACCAAGGCGACGAUCCGUAACUGGUCUGAGAGGAUGAUCAGUCACACUGGAACUGAGACACGGUCCAGACUCCUACGGGAGGCAGCAGUGGGGAAUAUUGGACAAUGGGCGAAAGCCUGAUCCAGCCAUGCCGCGUGUGUGAAGAAGGUCUUCGGAUUGUAAAGCACUUUAAGUUGGGAGGAAGGGCAGUAAGUUAAUACCUUGCUGUUCUGACGUUACCAACAGAAUAAGCACCGGCUAACUUCGUG
Molecule: ribosomal RNA, 484 nt
Filed under: uncultured bacterium
Lineage: Bacteria
Description: partial 16S ribosomal RNA
Rfam family: Bacterial small subunit ribosomal RNA
Source: RNAcentral